This is a long non-coding RNA of Aedes aegypti (yellow fever mosquito), 1356 nucleotides long. RefSeq lists it as uncharacterized. The transcript is spliced from 2 exons. Lineage: Eukaryota; Metazoa; Arthropoda; Insecta; Diptera; Culicidae. The record is from RefSeq and is a predicted model, not a curated record.
AGCAUCAAUUUGAGGGUUCGGUGAAGAAUUUCAAAGGGAUCACAGCAUCAAAAGAUUAGGAACCACUGCUUAACCACAAUAUCCAUAUUGAUAGCUUAUUCAUCUACAUUUCAUUUAAUAUUCAUAAAAUUCCGCAACCUAUCGGCACAAACCAUUCGUAAAACGAGUAAAAACAACUGAUCAGCACACUUUCAAAAUUAUAUCGCCCACCACACAUGUGUACAGCUUAAGCAAGUAUUUGAGACAUGCAGAUUCUCUCACGAUUCGUAAGAUCGCGCAGCGUAUCUCUCGUCGCGUCGCCGUGAUCCAGUCGGAUGCCCCAUACUCUCGCGAUCUUGGUUGCCUAAGAGCGUGCCUUCAAUAUCUUGUGCAGUUUCCAAACGAGAAAGAAAAAAAAACGCUGAUUCCACCUUCAGUCAAUCGUACCUGCAUUAUCUAAUCGGAUGCUUGGGUGCUCUCACCGGUCAUCAUCUUUUCUCCUGGGUGGAGUUUCUUGUUUGGCACGGCGACCUCGGAAGUUUUUUUACUCGUGUUUUGUGUUAUUAUCUCGUGAUGGUUGAUUUCGCCUCAAUCAAAACCGGGCGCAACGAAUCGAAAUAUGUGUGUCAGACGAGAAUUUCCACGCUGCAGAGCUACAUCAAUGGAUCGUUAACCGUUAGAACUGCUAGAGGCGUCAUUUGAAUGUGUUUUACUAACAGCACGUGGACCAUACAAGUUGUGACCUUUUGAAAAGUUAGUGUGGAACAUACAACUCGUCUCGCGUAACAACGAAAACAGUGACAGGCUAAUCCAAUCCAAAAUGUUUACCGAAUGUGAAUGUCGAGAAGGUCAAUGUUAUUUGUGUACGUUGCGUGUGUCUACUGAAGAAAUUCCUGUUUAUGCAAAACAGCUCACAAUUCGGUGUUAACUUCGGAGAUUGACAACUGAUGCUGGUCGCGAUUCGACGUUGACCAAUAUUUUUUUAAGAAAGUAUCAAUUUGAUGCGAUUGGAGAUCAUCCAUGAUCCAGACUCAAGUCUACAUUGGCAUUUGCACUAGCUCCACGAGCCACAUUAUAGGAGAUUAUUUAAUCCAGCAACGUCAUUCCAAAGGCCACCAAGACAUCGUCUGCGCGCUGUGGCCGUUUUCUAUUAUCAGCCAACAGCCACAACAUACGUACGUAUACGCAGCCGAGAGGAGAAAGUGGCGCGCUCCGUUUUCAAGACCCGACCGACCCGAAGUCAGAGUGCGCAAUUAUAGAACUGCAAUAAUCGUAAAAUGUCGUGCUUUUGCUGUUCUUGCGGUGGCAGCAGUAGUGCGACAAGUGGUGAGAAUGGUUCUCGCUAUCCGUACGGCCCGGACGGAGGGAAUGUAACAG